This is a long non-coding RNA of Triticum dicoccoides, 2256 nucleotides long. RefSeq lists it as uncharacterized. NCBI's taxonomy places the organism in Eukaryota, Viridiplantae, Streptophyta, Magnoliopsida, Poales, Poaceae. The record is from RefSeq and is a predicted model, not a curated record. The transcript has 2 exons.
CUCUGUUUCAUUCUCGCUCAGCCGAACAAACGAACGCAACGAGAGGCGGCUAGGGAUCCCGAUGGUCAGCCGCCGCCCGCCUGUAGCCACGAUUAUGGGCUUCCUCAAGCCACAAAUCGUGUCCGCCCUCAAACACUCGCCAAGCCGGCACACGCCCCCACGCCCUGAUCCGCACAGACCACGGCGCUACCACCUAACGCAGCGCGGCAGCGCGCGGCUCUACUGCCUCUUCCCGACGGUGGUGCGGCCUCGCGGUGUGGUCCUCGGCCUCGGGCCGACUCCCCGCGGCACGAUGGCAGUACCUCUUGGCCAGAACAUGGAGGAACUCUGAGAAGAAUGCUUGACCCGGCGUCCAGCGUCCAGAUCCGUGAUCCACCGUGGAGGUUGGUCCACCCCGAGUUCCUCGCCUCUGCAGUAUAUGUCCUCCCCGAGCUCCAAGGCGCCGCCUCCCGCAUCCUCCUGAGACCCAGUGCCUCCUCCAACCCACUGUCGCUACCAGUACCAGGUACUCCCUACAAGCCUUCUCCCGGUUUCCUCCUUCCGCGCACAGCCGUGGGGCUGCACACGGUCCCGAACGCUUGGCCCCGCCCCGACCUAGGUCUCCCCUUGGCUGGGUUGCGCACAUCGGGUGUGCGGCAGCAGCGAGGGGUGCGUGUGUGCCAACUCCGUUGUCGAGGCGGCGGAUGCCUCGGGGCAGAGGAUGGGUGCGGUGACGGGUUCGCGCGUUGAACCUCGUGCGAGAACCAGCGGACAUAGCGCGGCGUCAGAAUACGGUUGCGCGUUGUGCACCAACGGAAGAAAGGGUGGGCGCUGCACGCCGCCGAGGCCAUUCACGACGGGCAGUUCGUCUGCGAGUAUGCCGCCACAAUGAAUCCCUCCUUAGUUCUGAUUAAUGUUUUUCCAAAGUUGUCGAUGAAUGAAUUCUUGGUGGUAGGUGAUUUAUGAACUUAUACUGCAGUACGCAAAGUCAUGCUAUAUGUUUUCAUUUUUCAUUUUUUGUCAAACGAUGAUGCUUGCUUGGAUGCAGAUAAAGUUCACCUUCAGAUGUGCCUCACAACUGAUCCCCGGGGCCAGUAGUCUCAACAUGUUGCAUUAGUUGUGACUCUUGUAUUUGUUUCGGUUUACACUCAAUUGCGUCAAAGCUUCAAAGAAAAUCAACUGACUUGAUAAGAUUUUCCGGUCUCAGGAAACUCUGGGUUAAUCACAAGUGUGCUUUUGCUGACUGUAGAAACAAACACACCUGGUAGACAAAUAUAGCAACAAGUUAUUUUUUUUUCUUUUGAUAUCUAGCAACAAAUUGUUUCUAGCAACAAGUUGUUAGCACAAAUAAGAUCUCAUGGUUAAUCCAGAAAAAGUUUGAUUGGAUCCUACCCUGAAAGUCAGAUGCUUUCAGGUUCUUCACCGCAAUAAUAGGUGCAGCAUCAACCAUGUCCAGGGGCUCUUCAACAACAGUGUUGGCAAAAUCAUUCCAGCACGACUUGUUCCCGCAAUUAAAUCAGUUGUAAAUCAGAAUAUGUACCACAUUCUAAGCUAUCAAGACUUCAUACAAAUCAACAUUUUAGGCCAUCAACAAAUUAAUUUGCUGCUUACGAGUCAUCUGCCAACAACAAGGUAUGCUUUGGAGUUUGGAAUUGACACAUUGUCAAUCUUUCUUCUGAUACUCAAGAGAAGAUGAUACACUCUGAAUAGCACAAAUGAUAUAUACUGAUAAAAGGUGGAACACAGAGCAAAAUUAGUCAGAAUGCAUGCACUAAAGAAAAGGCGUCAGCUAACUUCAACACAAAAGGGAGUUCAGAAUAAUAUCAAAUUGUGUCCUUUUGAAUGGACUAGAAUCUUUAUUCAAAUUUUGCAACUGGUCCAGUACAACAUUCAAAACCGGUGAGUUAGCCCUGGAAAAUGUUUCUAUUCUUUCAGGAAGAAGCUAAAUCUAUAGGGUAGCUCUGGAACAAAAGAUUCAUAAAUUUCUUGGUUGUUGCGAAGCUGGUGAAAGAUUGCUUGGUUGGUGCUAACUACAUGCCCAAUGACACAUUAUGGAAGCAUCUAUUCCAUUGUGAGUUGAUCUCUGGGUGUUGUAUCUACAUCUUCAUAAAGGAAGCUAUCAUGUAUUUUCUGUUUUAGUUCCACCAGAGUCAUGGUUGAGAAUAUUUUUUAGGCAAUUAUAAUUUUUCAUGAGUAGAAUUGGAGUUUGUACAUAUUCAUGUCCUCUGAAUGUAGAACAUGUGCAUAACAAAUUGUAAACUUGAUUGCAGCAAAUAA